This 239-nucleotide ribosomal RNA is filed under the name uncultured bacterium. RNAcentral's name for it is "partial 16S ribosomal RNA". It matches the Rfam family "Bacterial small subunit ribosomal RNA", at positions 118 to 347 of the family's 1533-position model. The record is from RNAcentral.
UGAGGAACAUGACCUUCGGCGGGGGAUAGCCGGCCCAACGGCCGGGUAAUACCGCGUACGACCACAUGGGGACAUCCCUGGGUGGUGAAAGCAGCAAUGCGCCGAUGGAGUGCCUCGCGGCCUAUCAGCUAGUUGGUGAGGUAACGGCUCACCAAGGCGACGACGGGUAGCUGGUCUGAGAGGAUGACCAGCCACAUUGGGACUGAGACACGGCCCAGACCUCCGUAACGGGGAGCCAG